Molecule: non-coding RNA, 22 nt
Filed under: Arabidopsis thaliana (thale cress)
Lineage: Eukaryota; Viridiplantae; Streptophyta; Magnoliopsida; Brassicales; Brassicaceae
Source: RNAcentral
UUGACGAGAGAACUUAUUGGCC